UCUCUAACUUACACACAUCCACUUGACUUUAUCUCUUCUGCUCUUUAUUUCUCCCUCUGGUUAUCACAUCAAGUCUUCUCUUGCACUCACACCUUAAUACCAUUGGCACACAUACUGUAACUUCACAUCAUAGACACACCACGCCCUCUUUUUAAACAGUCCCUCUAGCUAAUAUGAGGGGAUAUUCUUUAAAGCUUUACUUAUCAACAUGCUAAAGUCCAAAGUAACUGUGUGGUAACAAGUAAAACUGGGCAGGGUCACUGGCUCUCUGAGCCUUUUGCAUUUCACACCCUUGGCCUUUUGCAUGGCUCUCCUACACCCUACUUUAAUUGAAUCCUAUUAACAAAGCUUUUUUUCCCCUCAAAACUUAAGAACUAAAUUGUAGUAGAUUAUUUUAUGUCAGACUACAAGAUAAAAACAAGCAAAGAAGACUCUUAUGGAACUCCAGUAUCAAUCUCUCAUCAUAUAGCUGUGGGCUGCUGGUGUUUUUCUUUUCUUAAUGUCAAAGUUUUCUCCUCCAGUUGUUUGUCUUGUCCCAGCCACAUUCCUGCAGUUGUAAAUGGACAGCUAGGUUAUUAAAAAUCGGUAGACCACGACAACUCUGCUCACAGGGCCCAAGAAAAGAAUGUCACAGUUGGAAAAUUAAAAGUAAAAAAACACUUAGUUACAAGGGUAGUAUCUAUGUUUUAAAAACAGGAUUAUAAUUAUUAUGAAGGUUUAUCUUAAGGUUUUCAGGUGAAAGUAGGCAUCAAAAGUUAUACAUUCAUUACCAAUUCAGAUUCUGAUUUGUUCUAAAUGUAUUUUCCCAUUGUUUUAAUCAAGUAAUAUCCAGCAUGUUUUCAUAUGUUUUCAGUUUUUUAAGGUACUAACUUCCCCUCAGCAUGCCUUAGACUUACACUAAAGGAAGUGAGUCCUUACACUUUUUUAUACAAUGUAAACAGUCAGAGGAAUAGCAUAGUCAGAGCACGAGUUAUUUUACGCAACAAAAGGUUUUGUAUCUGCAUUGUAACAUUAACAUGGUUAUUGACACUACUGCUUGUGUAA
This is a long non-coding RNA of Etheostoma cragini (Arkansas darter), 1044 nucleotides long. RefSeq lists it as uncharacterized. Lineage: Eukaryota; Metazoa; Chordata; Actinopteri; Perciformes; Percidae. The record is from RefSeq and is a predicted model, not a curated record. The transcript has 2 exons.